AUCCAUGGCCAGGCUGAAGCGACGGUAAGACGUCGUGGAGGGCCGAACCCACCUAGGUUGAAAAACUGGGGGGAGUGAGCUGUGGAUAGGGGUGGAAAGGCCAAUCAAACUUCGUGAUAGCUGGUUCUCUCCGAAAUGCAUUUAGGUGCAGCGUUGCGUGUUUCUUGCCGGAGGUAGAGCUACUGGAUGGCCGAUGGGCCCCAAAAGGUUACUGACGUCAGCCAAACUCCGAAUGCCGGUAAGUGAGAGCGCAGCAGUGAGACUGUGGGGGAUAAGCUUCAUAGUCGAGAGGGAAACAACCCCAGACCACCAACUAAGGUCCCAAAGCGCGUGCUAAGUGGGAAAGGAUGUGGAGUUGCCUUGACAACCAGGGAGGUUGGCUUAGAAGCAGCCACCCUUGAAAGAGUGCGUAAUAGCUCACUGGUCAAGUGAUUCCGCGCCGACAAUGUAACGGGG
Molecule: ribosomal RNA, 456 nt
Filed under: uncultured bacterium
Lineage: Bacteria
Description: bacterial LSU rRNA
Rfam family: Bacterial large subunit ribosomal RNA
Source: RNAcentral